Molecule: ribosomal RNA, 785 nt
Filed under: uncultured Neocallimastigales
Lineage: Eukaryota; Fungi; Neocallimastigomycota; Neocallimastigomycetes; Neocallimastigales
Description: partial large subunit ribosomal RNA
Rfam family: Eukaryotic large subunit ribosomal RNA
Source: RNAcentral
AUAUCAGUCAUGCAUAGCAUAUCAAUAAGCGGAGGAAAAGAAACUAACAAGGAUUCCCUUAGUAACGGCGAGUGAAGCGGGAAGAGCUCAAAUUUGAAAUCUUAAAGGGUUUCCCUUUACGAAUUGUAGUUUAAAGAAGUGUUUUCUGUUGGAGUUUCGGUAAAAGUUCUUUGGAAUAGGACAUCAUAGAGGGUGAGAAUCCCGUAUUUGACCAGUUACUUUCCAGCUGUGUGAUACACUUUCAAAGAGUCGGAUUGUUUGGGAAUGCAGUCCAAAAUGGGUGGUAAAUUUCAUCUAAAGCUAAAUAUUGGCGAGAGACCGAUAGCGAACAAGUACCGUGAGGGAAAGAUGAAAAGAACUUUGAAAAGAGAGUUAAACAGUACGUGAAAUUGUCAAAAGGGAAGCGUUUGACACCAGUGUUGUUUAGUUCGAAAAUCAAUUAACUAAUUUGUGAUUUUAAGUAGUUAUGACUUCAUCAGCUUGCUGCUCUCUUUACAGAAACUUCUUGAAUGCACUUUUCAGUUAACAAGUCAACAUCAAUUUCUUUUGUUGUAAAAGAGUACAUGGAAGGUGGCUUUUCUUUCGGAAGAAAGUGUUUAUAGCCUUGUAGCCUCUGCAAUCGGAGAGAUUGAGGUCUGCAGCGUAGAUCCUUCGGGGUUAGAUACAGUUUGUGCUAAGUUAUAGCUUGUCAUAGACAACUUGUUGACUAUACUUAAGUCAUUGUAGCUUACUCGCAGAUAUGCUAUUUUACCUACGCUUAGGAUGUUGAUGUGAUACUGCGAGCA